GGGGGUGUAGCUCAGUGGUAGAGCGCGUGCUUUGCAUGUACGAGGUUCCUGGUUCAAUCCCUGGCACCUCCA
This 72-nucleotide transfer RNA is filed under the name Pongo abelii (Sumatran orangutan). RNAcentral describes it as "tRNA-Ala (TGC) (tRNA-Ala-TGC-6-1)". It matches the Rfam family "tRNA". From Rfam's summary of the family: Transfer RNA (tRNA) molecules are approximately 80 nucleotides in length. Their secondary structure includes four short double-helical elements and three loops (D, anti-codon, and T loops). Lineage: Eukaryota; Metazoa; Chordata; Mammalia; Primates; Hominidae. The record is from Rfam by way of RNAcentral.